RNAcentral lists this ribosomal RNA (236 nucleotides) under uncultured bacterium. Its description in RNAcentral is "partial 16S ribosomal RNA". It matches the Rfam family "Bacterial small subunit ribosomal RNA", at positions 98 to 334 of the family's 1533-position model. The record is from RNAcentral.
CCGCACGGGUGAGUAACGCGUAUCCAACCUGCCGUCUACUCUUGGACAGCCUUCUGAAAGGAAGAUUAAUACAAGAUGGCAUCAUGAGUCCGCAUGUUCACAUGAUUAAAGGUAUUCCGGUAGACGAUGGGGAUGCGUUCCAUUAGAUAGUAGGCGGGGUAACGGCCCACCUAGUCUUCGAUGGACAGGGGUUCUGAGAGGAAGGUCCCCCACAUUGGAACUGAGACACGGUCCAA